This 176-nucleotide non-coding RNA is filed under the name Planococcus glaciei. RNAcentral describes it as "Planomicrobium glaciei Lysine sequence". It matches the Rfam family "Lysine riboswitch aptamer". Rfam says of the family: Riboswitches are metabolite binding domains within certain messenger RNAs that serve as precision sensors for their corresponding targets. Allosteric rearrangement of mRNA structure is mediated by ligand binding, and this results in modulation of gene expression. This family includes riboswitches that sense lysine in a number of genes involved in lysine metabolism, including lysC. Lineage: Bacteria; Bacillati; Bacillota; Bacilli; Caryophanales; Caryophanaceae. The record is from RNAcentral.
AGUGAUGAUAGAGGCGCGAACGUCAAUAGUAUCCAUUCGGAGAUUUGCAAAAUCUGUGAAGUUUGGGGAAAGGGGCGGUCGCCGAAGUGUGCGGAGUGAUUGCAAACCCGUAUGCUGGUCCGGCAUUUAAGAAGUGCCGGGCUGUCAGAGUCAAUCUCUGGAGGGCUAUCUCACAU